GGGGGGUUUGUGAAAGGUUUGUGAAUGCGGAUAACUAAAUCAAAAGACGGAUGCAAACACAAAUGUAAAACUGAAAUGUAGACAGAAACAUAAAAAUGUAAUCAAAUACAAAAUAAAAACGGUCGGUCAUUAACUCAAUUACUAUGCUUCCAAUCCCAGAUUAAAGACAAGUACGCACUACUCUAAUCCAAAUCCAACACGAAUCACCCAACUAAGCGAAGGGUAAUUCGGUUUUCAGAAUUGUAGACAAAGCGAAUGCAAUGCACAAAUCUAAUCAGUCAUGCACCAUAUAGUCUAAUCAACUAAGCGAAGAUCAAACACCGGUUAAGCAACUAAGCUUAUACCUAAUCGCAAAGAAAAUUCUGAAGAAGAGUAUACCUAAUGCAUAAAUCUAAUCAGUCAUGCACCAUACAAUCUUAGACUCAAGAUAGAGGAAGAAAAUUGAAGAAAAGAAGAGUCAAGAUAGCGCCCGGCGGCAAAAUUCACCGCUGGGCGGUCCAAGGCGAGGAGAAGGCACCUGGCGUGGGCUCUGGGAGGAUUUGCGAUUAGAGGCAAACCGCCGGGCAGUGGCCCCCUGCCGCCGGG
RNAcentral lists this long non-coding RNA (585 nucleotides) under Vigna radiata. Its description in RNAcentral is "long non-coding RNA (VRAD_LNC008031)". The record is from RNAcentral. Lineage: Eukaryota; Viridiplantae; Streptophyta; Magnoliopsida; Fabales; Fabaceae.